Molecule: long non-coding RNA, 1598 nt
Organism: Prosopis cineraria
Lineage: Eukaryota; Viridiplantae; Streptophyta; Magnoliopsida; Fabales; Fabaceae
Exons: 3
Source: RefSeq, a predicted model, not a curated record
UUGAGGAAGAGAGAGCACGCAGGGUCCUCAACCCUGUUUUCGGUCUUCCUCUGUCGUCCUUCUCGUCUAGCGCCGGUGACCGUGAAAGGUCUUCUUCUUCCCCUGUCGUGUGUCGCUUAGAAGCAUUGAGAUUCAUUUUGUUCUUCUCUGUUUCACGUCGCAGAACGCUCACAAUCGCUGGUCAUUGUAAAGAUCAUCCGAUCACCGUUCUUCUCCGUCGCCGGCUGUGGGUUCUUCGAUUUUCGGCUGCGGCAGUCGCCCUUUGCAGCAAAAGCAGCGUCAUUUUCCUCCUCCUGGUUAUGGUCACUGAUUUGGGAUGAAGAAGCUUCAAGUUCUGCUCAUCCUUCUCAACUGACUUGGCGCACGCACAGAUAUAACACCAUUUUCUGGAUCCUUCGACUAGGGGGGUUUUGCUAAUGCCGUCUCCCUCUGUUCCUCUUUGAUUUUUCCGGUUCAAUUUUUCCGGUGAGUUCUCAUUGUUUUGCCUCCAGCCAAGUCUUCCGCAUUUUUCCUCUUCUUUUCUUCUCUUUUCGGCAGUGCAUACACGUUCUGGAGCAGAGGAACAGAGUUGGAGAUUUUUCUUGGUUCCAGUAGCUUCGAGAUCUUUGUCUUCUACCCUCAUCCCUGUUACUCGUCCAAUCGCCAGCAACCUUGAGAACGCCGGAAUCCUUACUGUGGGUAGUGCACAGUACUUCGUCCAGCUCUCCCCUGUUCCGUAUCAUUUUCUUUCUUCAGCAUCUGUGUAAAUAUGUGAUGUUUGGAAAGAGGGAAGCUCAAAUAAGAGUCAUACGAAAUGAGUUUGGAGCCUUGAGGAUAUUACAGGUAAGUGGAUAGCGUCCCAACUGAUAUUUUAUCGAAAUCUCUUUUAUUUGAAUAUUACAUUUUUAUGCAAAUUAUUUUUACGACACCAAUGUGAUUAUGAGACAUUUUGUUGCUUAAAUUAUUUUAUUUUGUGAAAUUAUUUUACCAGAGUUGAUCAUUUUAGUUAAUCAGUAAAUACAAGUUUGAAUUUUAAUUGUGGGAUUUCAAUUUGAAAAUUAUUGAAUUGUUACGGAAAAACGAUUCAUGCGAGUUCGAAGUUGAAAGUUUUUUUUUAUAAAUGCAAGCAUGAGCAGUGGAUAUGAAAUUUGAUUCUGGCAAGUUUUAAUGCUUGAAAGUAUUCAUGCGAGUUUGAUUUUGAGAAUGAGAACUGUAUCUUGAAAGUGAUGAUUUUCUCGCAUGUUUGAAAAAUGGUUUUAAAAAGGGACUUUGUACAGAACACUGAUUGCUAACGGCAGUUUCGUUAGCCCUUGGCACGCCAUGGUACACCUAGCUAGCAGGGUGUUCAUAGGAGGUGCUAGCCCCGUGCGAUGGCCAACGCACGUGGAACGGAGGGAUGGUUAUUCGUGAGCAUAGUACUCACGUUUGUUUCAUGGCUUCAAGCCGCGUUUGGUUACUUACCCUCAUGGAUUGUGUGUUCACGUUUGUUUCGUGGCUUCGGCCGCGUUUGGUUAUUUGCCCUUGUGGAUUGUGUGUCCACGUUUAUUUUCGUGGCAUAAGCCGCGUUUGGUUAUUUAUCCUCGUGGACUGUGUGUCCACGUUUGUUAAUUAUUCUGAUA